This 445-nucleotide ribosomal RNA is filed under the name uncultured bacterium. RNAcentral's name for it is "partial 16S ribosomal RNA". It matches the Rfam family "Bacterial small subunit ribosomal RNA", at positions 354 to 796 of the family's 1533-position model. The record is from RNAcentral.
GUGAGGAAUAUUGGACAAUGGGCGCAAGCCUGAUCCAGCCAUGCCGCGUGCAGGAAGACGCAUCUAUGGUGUGUAAACUGCUUUUGUACGGGAAGAAACACUCCCUCGUGAGGGAGCUUGACGGUACCGUAAGAAUAAGGAUCGGCUAACUCCGUGCCAGCAGCCGCGGUAAUACGGAGGAUCCAAGCGUUAUCCGGAAUCAUUGGGUUUAAAGGGUCCGUAGGCGGUUUAAUAAGUCAGUGGUGAAAGCCCAUCGCUCAACGAUGGAACGGCCAUUGAUACUGUUAGACAUGAAUUACAAGGAAGUAACUAGAAUAUGUAGUGUAGCGGUGAAAUGCUUAGAUAUUACAUGGAAUACCAAUUGCGAAGGCAGGUUACUACUUGUGGAUUGACGCUGAUGGACGAAAGCGUGGGGAGCGAACAGGAUUAGAAACCCCGGUAGUCC